UGACAUGCAUAGGUUCUUUCUCUUCAGCACCCUCUGCUGGUCAUAAUGGGAAUACUCACCAGCUUUUAUUUUGGUGGGGUUUUUCUGUGUUCCUGUGGGUAGAGGAAACAGGAAGCUGGUCGCUUGUUAGCCUGCAGAAUAUGUUGUUGCUCUUUAAAACGUUUCUGCCUUGGAGAGUUAUUGCUUUUUUACGGGAAGAAAAGGAUGUCAAUCAUUGAACUACUGACGAAGUAAAAAGCCUUAAACUUACUUCCGCCUCCAAUGUUCAUUGAAACCGUUAGCUGUCUGUCAAGUUGGGCAAAGGGACGCACAAUAAGGACAGAACA
Haplochromis burtoni (Burton's mouthbrooder) is the source of this 326-nucleotide long non-coding RNA. RefSeq lists it as uncharacterized. The record is from RefSeq and is a predicted model, not a curated record. The transcript has 2 exons. Lineage: Eukaryota; Metazoa; Chordata; Actinopteri; Cichliformes; Cichlidae.